RNAcentral lists this unclassified non-coding RNA (202 nucleotides) under Hevea brasiliensis (rubber tree). The record is from RNAcentral. Lineage: Eukaryota; Viridiplantae; Streptophyta; Magnoliopsida; Malpighiales; Euphorbiaceae.
UAUCUUGUCUUGUUCUAUAACCAGUAUUCCUUAACUUAAUUGUAUUGCUUGUGUUUUUACUACUGUCCACAGCAGACUGACACAGAAUCAGUGAGUUAGAAGUUCCUCUCCAGAACUUCAUGCACGUUUUUCAAGGAGAAAUACCUUUGCAUGAAUCAUCUGGCAGCAAUUAAUCUUCCUUAUCAUUUCAAUUUUCAGAUGU